This 517-nucleotide ribosomal RNA is filed under the name uncultured bacterium. Its description in RNAcentral is "bacterial SSU rRNA". It matches the Rfam family "Bacterial small subunit ribosomal RNA", at positions 791 to 1314 of the family's 1533-position model. The record is from RNAcentral.
UAGUCCACGCCGUAAACGAUGGAUACUAGCUGUUCGGUAGCAAUACUGAGUGGCUAAGCGAAAGUGAUAAGUAUCCCACCUGGGGAGUACGUUCGCAAGAAUGAAACUCAAAGGAAUUGACGGGGGCCCGCACAAGCGGUGGAGCAUGUGGUUUAAUUCGAUGAUACGCGAGGAACCUUACCAGGGCUUAAAUGUAUUGUGACAGGGGUGGAAACACCCUUUUCUUCGGACACAUUACAAGGUGCUGCAUGGUUGUCGUCAGCUCGUGCCGUGAGGUGUCAGGUUAAGUCCUAUAACGAGCGCAACCCCUGUUGUUAGUUGCCAUCGAGUAAUGUCGGGAACUCUAACAAGACUGCCGGUGCAAACCGUGAGGAAGGUGGGGAUGACGUCAAAUCAUCACGGCCCUUACGUCCUGGGCUACACACGUGCUACAAUGGCCGGUACAGAGAGCAGCCACUUCGCGAGAAGGAGCGAAUCUAUAAAACCGGUCUCAGUUCGGAUCGGAGUCUGCAACUCG